This 515-nucleotide long non-coding RNA is filed under the name Equus asinus (donkey). RNAcentral describes it as "lncRNA (ENSEASG00005037480.1)". Lineage: Eukaryota; Metazoa; Chordata; Mammalia; Perissodactyla; Equidae. The record is from RNAcentral.
GCAUGAAGUGCAGCAUGAGAGUUACAGAGAUGAAAGAUGUGGUUCCUGUCUUGGACAAACCUUCAGUCUAAUGGGGAAAACAAACAAAGAAGCAAAAGACGGAUAUCGCAGACUGAAGAAGUUCAGACACAGUUCAUGGGAAGAGCUGAUGUUGGAAAGACCUUUUUGUGAUGGGGGAAGCAGUAGUGGUUAAAGCCGAGAAGUUGCUCUGGCUAGGACUUUCAAUACUAUGUUGAAUAAAAGUGUGAGAAUGGGCAUCCUUGAAUUGUUCCUGACCCUAGAGGAAAAGCUUCCAACUUUUACCAUUGAGUAUGAUGUUAGCUGUGGGCUUGUCAUAUGUGUCCUUAAUUAUGUUGAGCUGGAACUUCAGUCUCAGAAAUAAAGAUCAAGCACACAGCACAUUCCAACAAGUCCCACUGAGGCAUGGGUGGCCCUGGAGCAGGUGGGUGUCUCAGGAGAUCAUUAUCUGGCUGGAAGAACUUUAAGAAGAAUGGCUAUGGCACAGAUCUAAGGAG